AAACUCGCCCACUGAUCUCAUAAGUGAUGCUUAUAUUGAAAGCUCCUCUGAUAAAGCUGUGGCUAAUCAAUCAUGGUAUGCAAACAUAAAGUUUUUUAGUGAAAAACUUGGUUUAAAUUUAGCACUUUGUAAAAAGCUCAGUAAAAAUAAAUUCAAAAUUUUACUUAGAAAAUGUAUCAAAACUGAUUUUUUAACAUUUUGGAGCCAUCAAAAAGACUUAAUAAAAAAAAGAUGAUCACAGUAAAUUGAGCAACUACUUUAAAUUUAAACAUAAUUUCACUUUUGAAGAUUACUUUAAUAUUAAGAACAGAGAUAAGAGAGUUAUACUAACUAGAUUUAGAAUAAGCAAUCAUUGUCUCCGCAUAGAGAGAGGCCGUUACGAACGAAAAAUUGAUGAACAUGGAAAAAAUAUUACACUGCCAAGAUCAGAGAGAACAUGCCAGUUUUGUUCAAUGAACUCGGUUGAAGACGAAGAACAUUUUUUUAUUUAAAUGUACCCUUUAUAAUAAGGAAAGAAAAACCUUUCUGGAUGAACUCUUUACAAAAUACCCAUAUUUAUCCCAAAUAUCCGAUAGUAAUCUGCUUAUUUGGUUCAUGUCAAACGAUAGCCUUCAUUUUAACUCUAAAUUAUGUGAAUUACUAUCCUCAUUUUACACAUUGAGAAACUAAAUAUUUGCUUAACUGAAACUUAUAAAACUUAUUUAUAGUCUUCACCAGUUCAUUGUCACAUUAUACUUGAAUUGGUUUAUUUUCUUUUCUGGGCAGUAAGAGUUAUCCUUCAUUCCAUAUAUACAAUGUAGGCAACUGACUCUCCUCAUAAAAUUAAAAAAAAAAUACAUUUGUAUCUGUAUUUUUAUUGUAUUUCAUUUUUCAUUUACAUGUUGUACUGUUAAAUCAAUCAUCCUUAAUCAGAACGAGAGUUGUAUGUGUGAGUGUAUGCGAGUGGG
RNAcentral lists this long non-coding RNA (947 nucleotides) under Mytilus galloprovincialis (Mediterranean mussel). Lineage: Eukaryota; Metazoa; Mollusca; Bivalvia; Mytilida; Mytilidae. The record is from RNAcentral.